RNAcentral lists this ribosomal RNA (220 nucleotides) under uncultured bacterium. RNAcentral describes it as "partial 16S ribosomal RNA". It matches the Rfam family "Bacterial small subunit ribosomal RNA", at positions 524 to 743 of the family's 1533-position model. The record is from RNAcentral.
UACGUAGGGUGCAAGCGUUGUCCGGAAUUAUUGGGCGUAAAGAGCUCGUAGGCGGUUCGUCGCGUCGGCUGUGAAAACCUGAGGCUCAACCUCAGGCCUGCAGUCGAUACGGGCGGACUUGAGUACUGCAGGGGAGACUGGAAUCCUGGUGUAGCGGUGAAAUGCGCAGAUAUCAGGAGGAACACCGGUGGCGAAGGCGGGUCUCUGGGCGAGUAACUGA